This is a non-coding RNA of Merluccius polli (Benguela hake), 83 nucleotides long. NCBI's taxonomy places the organism in Eukaryota, Metazoa, Chordata, Actinopteri, Gadiformes, Merlucciidae. The record is from the annotation of a GenBank genome assembly.
GGUGCUGUCUAGCUCAACAGGUAGAGCAUGGCAUUAACAUUGCCAGGGUUAAAGGUUCGAUUCCCACUGGGAGGGACCACCGA